Molecule: transfer RNA, 90 nt
Filed under: Luteitalea sp.
Lineage: Bacteria; Pseudomonadati; Acidobacteriota; Vicinamibacteria; Vicinamibacterales; Vicinamibacteraceae
Description: tRNA-Ser
Rfam family: tRNA
About the family: Transfer RNA (tRNA) molecules are approximately 80 nucleotides in length. Their secondary structure includes four short double-helical elements and three loops (D, anti-codon, and T loops).
Source: RNAcentral
GGAGGGAUGGCCGAGCGGUCGAAGGCGGCGGUCUUGAAAACCGCAGUAGGGGAAACUCUACCGGGGGUUCGAAUCCCUCUCCCUCCGCCA